CUCUCUCUCUCUCUCUCUCUCUCUCCAGCCCCAUGCCUAUCUAUCUGCUUCCCAUGAUCAUGGACUCACCGUCUGAAACCGUAAAGCCCUCCGUUACAUGCUUCCUUUUACAAGAGUUGCCUUGUUUGUAGUAUCUCUUCACAGCAGUGGAACAGUAACUAAGACACCCAGCAUUUCAGAGGUCAGAGCAGUGCACUGUGACCCCAAAUCUUAGCCUAUGGCAUUGUUGACCAUAAAUUUCAUUGUUGCCAUAAGCUAUCUGAUGUCAAGGCCUCAGGUAUGCAGACACUAUAAGCAGGGUACUCCCAAGAGCUGGGCCCUGGACCAGCCUUGGUGAGCAAGCAUGGAGGAUUUGAACAACCUGUGUCUGGUGAGUUUAUUCUUCAUCGUGCAAUGACUUUUCUCAUUUGUAGUGCUUUGGCAAUAACCGCAUUGCUUUUACCACCGCAACUCACAAUUAAACUACUUUCUUUCCUUCUCUCUUUUUUGGGAGUAGGGUUGGGGGCAGGAUCUCAAAGUCACUGUCACCAAGAAGGGUCCUGAAUUUUUAAUCUACCUCUGUCUCCCUGAUGUCACCAUACACCCAGUUCAUACAGUGUUGGGGGUAGAACCAGGGCCAUGGUAGACAACUGGGUGCCCUCCCAGCAUAAUUAAACUAUUGGUAUUUGUAUUCUGCAAAAAGGGUGAUGCUUCAAACACAUCUGUGUGGUGUCAUUUUAGUAUUGUCUUAUCAAGCUAAAUCUCUAUGUGUCAACUUUCCGAACUACCAGAGUGACAUCUCAAUAACUGGUGACAUGGUAUCCUAUGAAGCGUGAAUAUUGGUAGGCAUUCCCAAAGCCUGGCAAAUAUCCUCAUGAAUUCACACUACAUGAUGAGGCCAGGAACAAAACUCUACUUCAUUCUCAAGACAGAAAUCUCAAUCCAGGGUGCUAAAGGACCCGGAAGCCCGGAACAGCACGACAAGAAGGUGCCCGAAUGACGUAUUUGUCACCCGACCGCUUGAGAGCCAAGUAAUUUCAAGCCUCUUGGCUCUGGUGGCUGUGUCCGAAUGAAGCAUUGGGCGUCGUCUUAGAAGUCUGCCCGGCCUGGAGAAGAAAGGGCGGCUGCUCAUUUGUAGGCAGUCCUUGUCCUGGCUCAGCACAAGCUCAGAUACCCACUCUCGUCUGCUCUAGCUGCUGCCACCGCGACCUUGUUCUCUGGCCCAGAAUGAAAGUCAGAAUUGCUUGCCUGCUGCCAAGCCCUCUGUCUAAUGCUUAGAUGAUGCUCAUCCAAGCAGCUUCGUUACCGCCCACGUUUUACAGAUAAGGACACCGAGCCAGGGCAAGUCUUGGGACAGACCACGGGAGACAAAGCCUCUUCAUUUCGAUGCUUGAUGAAGCAUGACCAUGGAGGGAUGCAUUUCCAGUUCUCACAAGCCAGCACUUGAAAGCUGUGCAUGAUGCCUGGGAGCCAUGCAUCUCAAGCUCCCAGAAAAGGCAUAAAUAUGUUAACAUUUUUGGAUAAAAUCUCUUCCCUCUGAGCUACACAAAGUAGCAGGCAUCACACACACACACACACAAAAAAAAAGAGCAAAUUUCUGGGAAAUAUGCAGCCCACGGUGAUGACUCCCUAACAUUUGGAGUUUAGAUCUGAUUAUGAGUUAUAUGUCAAGUGGUAACAAAUUCCGAACAAGUAGACUGAAACUAAAUAAACAGUUGCUGCGCCUACUCUCCAGCAGUUAAUUAUAGUAGGGACUCUGCUUCUUGGGAAGUAUUGUUAUAAUCAAUUAUAAUUAGUGAUUUGAAACAGGGAUACUUUUUAAAAAAUGGGUGGUGAAGAGCCUUGCACGAGCUGAACCAUUUGUGUUAAAGCUUCCCCUAAGAAACUCAGUAUUCUUUGGCAGCCUAAGAACAAAACAAAACAAAAAACCCUCUCAGUCAAAACUGCCAGUCAAGAGCCCUGGACAUUAUUCAAACAGGCUAGAAUGAGCCCUGUAAGUGUUCAGGUGUAGAGAGGCCUCGAGUGCCUGGGAAAAUAUCCUGCAUAUUGAUGGCUCUCUGCUGAUCGCUGCUGCUUUCCAGCUGCAUUUCCAUCAGGAUUUCUCUGCCUUGGAAGAUGUGACAAUUUAAAAAGUGCUUUAAUAUCCCGACAAUGGGCCCAGGAGCAGCACGAGAGCCACACGAGGACUCCUAAGACAGGGACAGAUGCCAGGCUGUCGAGGGUGCUCCAGGGCUGCCAUUUUACUGUCAUGACUGGGUUUGCAACUAUGAAGUCACUGGGUUCCAGGUCGCACAGUCCAGGUAAAGGUAGCUCCUGAGAGCUCGUCUUUGUGUGUUUGCAUGUAUGGGUGUUCGUGUGGAGGCCAGGGUUUCCCCUCAGGAACCAUCCAGAUUGUUUAUAUGAGACGAAGUCUCACUGGGACCUGGAGUCUUCCAAUUCAGCUCAGCUGGCUGGCCAGCGAGCGUCAAGAAUCCUCCUUUCUCCACCUCUCCAGAGCUUGGGUUAAAAGCACACAGUACCAAGCACAGCUUUGUCUUUGGCUACUGGAGUCAAACUCAAGUCCUUGUGUAGGCGGAGUUUUCCUGUGCCGGUAGCCACUCCCAAAUAACUUCAUGUUAAUUGUGAAUGCUUGGCCAAUAGCUCAGGCUUGUUACCAGCUAACUCUUACGUUUCUGCUAUCUUAAAAGUGAUGAGGAGGCAGACGAGGUCAGAAGGUGAGGGGAAAACUCAACCCCCAUCCCAGCUUUGAGGAUGGAGGAAGGAGCCCCGAGCAAUAGCCUCUAGAAGCUGAAAAUGCAAGGGAUGAUUUAUUUGCAGACCCUCCAGAGAGAGUGCAGCCCUGAUGCUUGUUUGGUGUUAGCUCAGUGGGAUAUGCAUGCAACGGAAAAAAAAUUAUUAUUUUUGUUGUUGUUGUUUUGGUUUUUUGAGACAGGGUUUCUCUGUGACUUUAGAGGCUGUCUGGUAGCUCUUGUAGACCAGGCUGGUCUUGAACUCACAGAGAUCCACCUGCCUCUGCCUCCCGAGUGCUGGGAUUAAAGGCGUACACCACCAAUGCCCAGCCAGAAAGUAAUUAAGUCUGCCAUAGUUAACAAAUACUCUGUGAACUAGACUCAUGGUGGGUAAGGGGACUCGGCUUCCUUGAGGAUCCCAUCCAGGACAACAGAGCCUAGACUGUCUGGGGCUCUUAAGACACUCACGGGGUAGAAUGAGCCAUAAGCUCACUCGUGGGUAGAAUACGGCCUAGGCUUCCGCAUGUGGGUGAGCGGGUAUGCUAAACCAAAAGGACCACUCCCCAGAGCAAUUGCUGUGCGUGUGUCUUCUCCCCUUUUCCUAAUAGUGGCCACUGCCUGCUAUUCUGCUACGUGUUCUUAAGAUUCAGCCCUCAGGGUGGUCACGUAGUCUUUAUUCUCUGUUACUUACACCUUUGUGCUUAUUUCUUCUUUCUUUCGUUUUUGCUCCCUUUGAAGGUGUUUUCAAGCAGAUUUACUUUCAUUAUAUUUGAAUCGUUUUGCGUAUGUGUGCACACACACGUGUGUGUACUCUAUAUGUGUAUGUGUGUGUGUACUCUGUGUGUGUGUGUGUCUGUCUGUGUCUGUGUGUCUGUGUAUGUGUCUACUAUGUACGUGCAGUGUCCGCAGAGGGCAGAACAGAGCAUCAGAUCCCUGGGACUGGAGUUUCAGAAGGUGGUGAGUCGCCCUGUGGGUGCUGGAAACAGUACCUGUUUCCUCUGCAAGAGCAGUCAAUGCUUCUAAGUGCUGAGCUAUCUCUCCAAGCCCCCUAGUUUUACAUUUGUUUUUGUUUUUUAUUUGUAUGAAUAUGUAAAACUAUGUAUCCUUCUCUGAUGGACUUUUAAAAUAUAUCCCAUACCUUCUGAAA
This is a long non-coding RNA of Mesocricetus auratus (golden hamster), 3855 nucleotides long. RefSeq lists it as uncharacterized. NCBI's taxonomy places the organism in Eukaryota, Metazoa, Chordata, Mammalia, Rodentia, Cricetidae. The record is from RefSeq and is a predicted model, not a curated record. The transcript has 2 exons.